CCAAUAGCGUAUAUUAAAGUUGUUGCAGUUAAAAAGCUCGUAGUUGAAUUUCGGGAUCAAUAUAUCGGUCAUGCCUUGGUAUGCACUGGUAUCUUUGAUUUCUCCCUUCUGACGAACUUUGAUGUCAUUAAUUUGGUGUCAUAGGGAAUCAGGACUGUUACUUUGAAAAAAUUAGAGUGUUUAAAGCAGGCUCACGCUUGAAUACAUUAGCAUGGAAUAA
RNAcentral lists this ribosomal RNA (220 nucleotides) under uncultured Glomus. RNAcentral describes it as "partial small subunit ribosomal RNA". It matches the Rfam family "Eukaryotic small subunit ribosomal RNA", at positions 591 to 817 of the family's 1831-position model. Lineage: Eukaryota; Fungi; Glomeromycota; Glomeromycetes; Glomerales; Glomeraceae. The record is from RNAcentral.